AAGAGAUCAGCCUGAAAGGGAGAAAAGAAACAAGUGAGGAGGAAGAAGAGCGAUGCAAACAUGGACACACCGUCCUCGCUGCAGGAACAAGAAUAAGUUCAUUAGUUCUAAGGCUGAGAAGGUGUUGCGGACUGCAAAUGGCACCCAACUCUUUUUAAGGCACCCAGAAGAUUCAGUGUGGCACUACCUGGAGCUCUAAGAAGACAACAGUAUGUGCUGUCUGUAAGAAAGCAGCAGGAAGGUGUUGCACGAAUUUGAUGGAGGACAUGUUUUCAAAGAUCAGAGACAGCAACUAUAUUUUGGAAGCUGUGCAGCAGAUUCACCAGAUCUACAGAUGGGAACAUACUGCCAGAACAGUCUCCCAUUUUGACAUCCAUUUCCUGUGCUCCAGUGUUGUGGGAGAGUCUUGGCAAGGGAGAGGCCUCUGCCACGAGUCAGGUUUCCAAUCUCUGAAUGCUACGCAAGACCUCUGGGAGGAAAUAUCUACAUCCAGGGGCAACUUCUCUGCCUGCUUGCCACCACAGCUAGUAUCAACAUCCCCUUGUGCUGGUGCUUGCGAGUCCAGCCCAGCCAGCUGCAAACUAUUUGCCAUGCUUCCUGGAGCACAGUUUGGGGAGCCUCUGCAAGA
Molecule: long non-coding RNA, 628 nt
Filed under: Dromaius novaehollandiae (emu)
Lineage: Eukaryota; Metazoa; Chordata; Aves; Casuariiformes; Dromaiidae
Description: lncRNA (ENSDNVG00000001019.1)
Source: RNAcentral